Molecule: ribosomal RNA, 608 nt
Filed under: uncultured bacterium
Lineage: Bacteria
Description: bacterial SSU rRNA
Rfam family: Bacterial small subunit ribosomal RNA
Source: RNAcentral
UCGAGGGGCAGCAUGGGGAGUAGCAAUACUCUCUGAUGGCGACCGGUGCAAGGGUGCGUAACGCGUGAGCAACUUGCCCUCAUCAGGGGAAUAAUCGCUGGAAACGGCGCCUAAUACCCCAUGGCGAUAUAUUGAGGCAUCUUGAUAUAUCUAAAGCUCCGGCGGAGACGGAUUGGCUCGCGUGACAUUAGCUGGACGGCGGGGUAACGGCCCACCGUGGCUACGAUGUCUAGGGGUUCUGAGAGGAAGGUCCCCCACACUGGAACUGAGACACGGUCCAGACUCCUACGGGAGGCAGCAGUGAGGAAUAUUGGUCAAUGGGCGGGAGCCUGAACCAGCCAUGCCGCGUGAAGGCGAGUGCCCUACGGGCGUUAAACUUCUUUUGUGCGGGAGCAAUAAGGGCCACGCGUGGCCCGAUGAGAGUACCGCACGAAUAAGCAUCGGCUAACUCCGUGCCAGCAGCCGCGGUAAUACGGGGGAUGCGAGCGUUAUCCGGAUUUAUUGGGUUUAAAGGGUGCGUAGGCGGCGCUUCAGGUCAGCGGUGAAAUACCGGGGCUCAACCCCGGGGCUGCCGUUGAAACCGGAGCGCUAGAAUUCCGAUGCCGUCG